CCUACGGGAGGCAGCAGUGGGGAAUAUUGGACAAUGGGGGCAACCCUGAUCCAGCCAUGCCGCGUGUGUGAAGAAGGCCCUCGGGUUGUAAAGCACUUUCAGUGAGGAAGAACGCCUGGUGGUUAAUACCCAUCAGGAAAGACAUCACUCACAGAAGAAGCACCGGCUAACUCCGUGCCAGCAGCCGCGGUAAUACGGAGGGUGCGAGCGUUAAUCGGAAUUACUGGGCGUAAAGCGCGCGUAGGUGGCUUGAUAAGCCGGUUGUGAAAGCCCCGGGCUCAACCUGGGAACGGCAUCCGGAACUGUCAAGCUAGAGUGCAGGAGAGGAAGGUAGAAUUCCCGGUGUAGCGGUGAAAUGCGUAGAGAUCGGGAGGAACACCAGUGGCGAAGGCGGCCUUCUGGACUGACACUGACACUGAGGUGCGAAAGCGUGGGUAGCAAACAGGAUUAGAUACCCCGGUAGUC
This 465-nucleotide ribosomal RNA is filed under the name Vreelandella stevensii. RNAcentral's name for it is "partial 16S ribosomal RNA". It matches the Rfam family "Bacterial small subunit ribosomal RNA", at positions 338 to 795 of the family's 1533-position model. The record is from RNAcentral. Lineage: Bacteria; Pseudomonadati; Pseudomonadota; Gammaproteobacteria; Oceanospirillales; Halomonadaceae.